Molecule: ribosomal RNA, 442 nt
Filed under: uncultured bacterium
Lineage: Bacteria
Description: partial 16S ribosomal RNA
Rfam family: Bacterial small subunit ribosomal RNA
Source: RNAcentral
CCUACGGGUGGCAGCAGUGGGGAAUAUUGGGCAAUGGGCGCAAGCCUGACCCAGCAACGCCGCGUGAAGGAAGAAGGCUUUCGGGUUGUAAACUUCUUUUGUCAGGGAAGAGUAGAAGACGGUACCUGACGAAUCAGCCACGGCUAACUACGUGCCAGCAGCCGCGGUAAUACGUAGGUGGCAAGCGUUGUCCGGCUUUACUGGGGGGAAAGGGCGUGUAGCCGGGUUGACAAGUCAGAUGUGAAAUCCUGCGGGUUAACCGCAGGACUGCAUUUGAAACUGUUGAUCUUGAGUACUGGAGAGGCAGGUGGAAUUCCUAGUGUAGCGGUGAAAUGCGUAGAUAUUAGGAGGAACACCAGUGGCGAAGGUAGUCUGCUGGACAGCAACUGACGGUGAGGCGCGAAAGCGUGGGGAGCAAACAGGAUUAGAUACCCGAGUAGUC